UUAGUUUUUUUCCAUGUAACCAAGUUUUACCCUGCUGCAAACACAUGCUCAGUACCAGCUCCCCGGGGAGCAGCUCCUCUCCUGCCUCACACUUGGCCAGGCUGCCCAUGAGCUUGUUCCUUGAUCACACAGGCUGCUGUACCAGCUCUCUGAUACUGAAGAAUGUACAGUGCCAAAAAAUUUAUCAUGGUAGUCUGACAGGUUUAUGGUCUGUAAUCCUUGUUGAUUGGUAUUUAUAUUUCUCUGCUUUAAGUCUUUAUCAAUAUGAUCACAUAUUUUUGGUCAUUAUUUUCCAUGGGAUGUCUGUUGAAUAGACACACCUGUUUACUAAGCCAUCCUGUUUACUUUAUUAAUAUGCUGGCACAACAUCAACUUGCUUGUUCUCUGGAGCUUCUCCAGGUUUCCUUGUGUUACUGGAUCUCACCAUUAAUAGUUUGGAUGUUUAAAAAUGGAUGUUAUUUUUUUAGAUGCAGGAUACCCAGACUGAAGAGUUUUCAACAUUUGCCUUAUGCAACUGUUGUUUAAUAUCCUCCUGAGUUACUGUUAGAGUGGAAAGUGUUUCACCCUCGUGACAGGAGUGCUUCAUCUGGCUUCCUCCCAAAUGCAGGAGAGAGAUAUUUAUUGCCUUUCCUUCCUGCCCAGCUACCCACAGGCCCACUGCUCCCAGUCUGUAUCGGACAUGCAGCCAUGCUGGGUCGUGCCCACAGCCUGUCCUGCUGCUGCCCUGAGCUGCAUCCUCUCUGGGAGCCAUGAAGCUCAGAGUGGUGCCACCACUUCCCUGCAUCUCUCUGCAUCCAGUGAUCAGCAUGACAAACACCUGCUGCUUGUUUGCUCUCGUCCCAUCCCCAAGCAGUGGUGUGCACACAGAUGUCUUCUGUUUAAACAAGCAAAACAUAACAUUUUGUUUGUUUUUUUAACCUACAGAUCUUUUAAGUAGAUGUCAUUAAGCCUUUAUAGUGGAAGUGAAGUCUGUGAGGUGUGAGGGAAGAAGCAGCUGAAAAGAUAGGGGGACAGAGGAGUGAGGGGAACCUCUUCAGUUCUCCACUCUCCAUACCACAGCAGCUCCACCUGUAGCUCACAGAGGAGAGAAAACCACAUGGAAACAGCAGCAGAAGAUGCAUCUUUACUGACCUCUGGAAAGCUCAGAGACUGCUUGGAAGUCAAAGGCACAAACACAGGGAAACAACAGUCAUGUGUGCUGCCCACCCCAGCUGGCAGGCAAAGUCCAGCAAUUAAACACACCGGGGUGAAAGUCUGCUGUCAAAGCUGCAGUGCACCACCACGGUGCCAGCAAGCUCCCAGGUGAUGCUGGCACUGCCCCUUCCAUCUCAGGGAAUGCCUUUUUGCAGGAUCAAAUAGAAAAGGAUGGGAGGAUCUGUAAAUCAUCUUCUCACUCCCCAAGUGUAUUAAGAAUACUGAGAAACUUGCCACCUGAAGAGACUGAAACCACCUUCUUCCCACCCAGGUGCACAGUGAGCCUAAGCCAGUCUUCAAGACUGGCACCAGAAAAGGUACAACACUGCACCAGCAUCUCUCAUUACAUACAGAAAAAAUUAUCAUUACUAAUCCCUGAGGUCAUAACCUCUCAAUGAACUUCAUUCCUUUUCCAUUGCUUAGUUCUUACAGACCUUCCCAUCUGAUAGUCUGGUAAUUGUGUGCACUGAGGGUGGCUUCAGUAUUUGUGCCUUCAGCAAGUUACAUUAGCCCACGCCUGCUUUUUGCACCAGGGCAGAGCUGUGAGGGGAAAGAGAGGUGCCCUUGGCUCUGCAGGAGACAAGGAGCAGUGGAGGGAACAGUGCAAAGGAGGAAUGCAGAGGCUCCCACCCACCUCCAUCUCAUUGGGUCCCCUGCUAAGAAGGACCAGCAAGAUCCUCGUUAAAGUUAGAGUGAAAAUUGUGUGUUGUUAUCCAGGUAAGAAAUGGAGGAAGGAGCUUAAACUUUUCCAGACUGGAGCCUGGUGCAGCCCAGGCUGCUGGGAGCAAGCACAGGUUGUUUCUUGAA
Long non-coding RNA from Passer domesticus (house sparrow), 2001 nucleotides. RefSeq lists it as uncharacterized. The transcript has 5 exons. Lineage: Eukaryota; Metazoa; Chordata; Aves; Passeriformes; Passeridae. The record is from RefSeq and is a predicted model, not a curated record.